Molecule: ribosomal RNA, 2035 nt
Filed under: metagenome
Description: bacterial LSU rRNA
Rfam family: Bacterial large subunit ribosomal RNA
Source: RNAcentral
UCAAGCUACAAAGGGCGCACGGUGGAUGCUCAGGCAGUGAGAGGCGAUGAAGGACGUGGACAGCUGCGAAAAGCUUCGGUGAGCCGCUAACAGGCUAUGACCCGGAGAUCUCCGAAUGGGACAACCCGCGCAGGGACUACCUGCCAUCUUGCAGUGAAUUCAUAGCUGCAAGAAGCCAACCCAGGGAACUGAAACAUCUAAGUACCUGGAGGAAAAGAAAACAAAUAGUGAUUCUCCUAGUAGUGGCGAGCGAACGGGGAACAGCCUAAACCGUAGCAAUACGGGGUCGUGGGGCCAGAGACAUCGACGAGAGACUGUAGAAGAACGGCAUGGAAGGGCCGGCCAUAGAGGGUGACAGCCCCUUAUUCGAAACGGACUCAGAUCGUAUCUGGUACCCGAGUACCGCAGGACACGUGCAAUCCGGCGGGAAUCUGGGAGGACCAUCUUUCCAAGGCUAAAUACUACUUACUGACCGAUAGUGAACAAGUACCGCGAGGGAAAAGUGAAAAGAACCCCGGUUAGGGGAGUGAAAUAGAACCUGAAACCGUGUGCCUACAAGCAGUGGAAGCACUAUGGCCGCAAGGCAAUGUGUGACCGCGUACCUUUUGCAUAAUGAGCCCGUGAGUUACGAUGCGUGGCAAGGUUAAGCCGUGAGGUGUAGCCGUAGCGAAAGCAAGUCUUAACAGGGCGUACAGUCGCGCAACGUAGACCCGAAACCCCUGCGAUCUACCCAUGUCCAGGUUGAAGAGCGGGUAACACCGCUUGGAGGACCGAACGCACCUUAGUUGAAAAUAAGGGCGAUGAGGUGUGGGUAGGAGUGAAAGGCUAAUCAAGCGGGGAGAUAGCUGGUUCUCGUCGAAAUAUAUUGAGGUAUAGCCUCGGGUGAAUUGCGUCGGAGGUAGAGCACUGGAUGGGCUAGGGGUCCUACCAGAUUACCAAACCCAACCAAACUCCGAAUGCCGACGACAACUGCCCGGGAGUCAGGCAGCGGGAGAUAAGUUCCGUUGCCGAGAGGGAAAGAGCCCAGAUCGUCAGCUAAGGUCCCUAAAUCAGAGCUAAGUGUAGAAGGAUGUGGAAGCGCUUAGACAACCAGGAGGUUUGCUUAGAAGCAGCAAUCCUUUAAAGAAAGCGUAAUAGCUCACUGGUCAAGCGAGUCUGCGCCGAAAAUGUAACGGGGCUAAGUUCUGUACCGAAGCUACGGGUGCUCGUAAGAGCGCGGUAGACGAGCGUCGUGAAGGAGAUACACGGUGGACGGUGACGACCACUAACGGCCUUCACGAGUGAUUAUGCGGGCAUGAGUAGCGAUAAACCGGGUGAGAAACCCGGUCGCCGUAAGCCCAAGGUUUCCUGGGGAAGGAUAAUCCUCCCACGGGUUAGUCGAUACCUAAGCUGAGGCCGAGAGGCGUAAGCGAUGGAAAGCAGGUUAAUAUUCCUGCACCACCAAGGGUGACGUUGAUGUAAGCGGGGACGGAGAAGGGUAGCCCAUCACACUGCAUGGUUGUGUGUUCAAGCCCGUAGGCUGAGUUGUUAGGACCCGAUAGGGACAAACGACGACUCUUAAGGCCGAGAGGUGAUGAGGUCUGGUCCUAGACCAGGACACUGGGUAAUCCCACGCUUCCUAGAAAAGCCGCGUACGGAGUUUCUUUGGUGAUCGUACUGUAAACCGACUCAGGUGGGCGGGGUGAGAAUCCCAAGGCGCGUGAGAGAACCCUGGUUAAGGAACUCGGCAAAUUGACACCGUAACUUCGGGAGAAGGUGUGCCGCUGGCGGUUAGUAGAUUCACUCUACGAAGCUGUUGGCGGUCGCAGUGAAAUGGCGGUUGUGACUGUUUACUAAAAACACAGGACUCUGCGAACUCGUAAGAGGACGUAUAGGGUCUGAUGCCUGCCCGGUGCUGGAAGGUUAAGGGAAUUUGUCAGGGGCAACCCGAAGCAAUGAACCGAAGCCCCAGUAAACGGCGGCCGUAACUAUAACGGUCCUAAGGUAGCGAAAUUCCUUGUCGGGUAAGUUCCGACCUGCACGAAUGGCAUAACAA